AGUUAUAGGGAGGGGCUUAUGUCACCACAAACAGAAACUAAAGCAGGUGUUGGAUUUAAAGCUGGUGUUAAAGAUUAUAAAUUGACUUACUACACCCCAGAGUAUGAAACUAAUGAUACUGAUAUCUUGGCAGCAUUCCGAGUAAGUCCUCAGUCUGGGGUUCCGCCCGAAGAAGCAGGGGCUGCAGUAGCUGCCGAAUCUUCUACUGGUACAUGGACAACUGUUUGGACUGAUGGUCUUACCAGUCUUGAUCGUUACAAAGGACGAUGCUAUCACAUCGAGCCUGUUGCUGGGGAAGACAGCCAAUGGAUCUGUUAUGAAGCUUAUCCAUUAGACCUAUUUGAAGAGGGUUCUGUUACUAACAUGUUUACUUCCAUUGUAGGUAACGUAUUUGGUUUCAAAGCCCUACGUGCUCUACGUUUGGAGGAUCUACGAAUUCCCCCUACUUAUUCAAAAACUUUCCAAGGCCCGCCUCAUGGUAUCCAAGUUGAAAGAGAUAAGUUGAACAAGUAUGGUCGUCCUUUAUUGGGAUGUACUAUUAAACCAAAAUUGGGAUUAUCCGCAAAAAAAUAUGGUAGAGCGUGUUAUGAGUGUCUAUGUGGUGGACUUGAUUUUACCAAAGAUGAUGAAAACGUAAACUCACAACCAUUUAUGCGCUGGAGAGACCGUUUUGUCUUUUGUGCCGAAGCUAUUUAUAAAUCAUAG
RNAcentral lists this ribosomal RNA (705 nucleotides) under Triticum aestivum (bread wheat). RNAcentral's name for it is "partial small subunit ribosomal RNA". The record is from RNAcentral. Lineage: Eukaryota; Viridiplantae; Streptophyta; Magnoliopsida; Poales; Poaceae.